AGUGAACGCUGGCGGUAGGCCUAACACAUGCAAGUCGAACGGCAGCACAGUAAGAGCUUGCUCUUACGGGUGGCGAGUGGCGGACGGGUGAGGAAUACAUCGGAAUCUACUUUUUCGUGGGGGAUAACGUAGGGAAACUUACGCUAAUACCGCAUACGACCUACGGGUGAAAGCAGGGGAUCUUCGGACCUUGCGCGAUUGAAUGAGCCGAUGUCGGAUUAGCUAGUUGGCGGGGUAAAGGCCCACCAAGGCGACGAUCCGUAGCUGGUCUGAGAGGAUGAUCGGCCACACUGGAACUGAGACACGGUCCAGACUCCUACGGGAGGCAGCAGUGGGGAAUAUUGGACAAUGGGCGCAAGCCUGAUCCAGCCAUACCGCGUGAGUGAAGAAGGCCUUCGGGUUGUAAAGCCCUGUUGUUGGGAAAGAAAAGCAGCAGGUGAAUACCCCGCUGUUCUGACGGUACCCAAAGAAUAAGCACCGGCUAACUUCGUG
This 492-nucleotide ribosomal RNA is filed under the name uncultured bacterium. RNAcentral describes it as "partial 16S ribosomal RNA". It matches the Rfam family "Bacterial small subunit ribosomal RNA", at positions 29 to 507 of the family's 1533-position model. The record is from RNAcentral.